Molecule: long non-coding RNA, 318 nt
Organism: Lucilia sericata (common green bottle fly)
Lineage: Eukaryota; Metazoa; Arthropoda; Insecta; Diptera; Calliphoridae
Exons: 2
Source: RefSeq, a predicted model, not a curated record
UGUCUACAAAUAAAUACCCGGGCAUUUCCACUAGAAAUACGUAGUUACAUCUUGAUUACUUAUUACAACAAAGCUCGACCAUGAAAACCUUCAUUGUUCUUGCCAUCAUGAAUAUUUUGGCCUUUUGCUCAGCUGUUGCAAUCUUGGAAGAAGAGACUGAUAAUUUUGGCCUCAAUCCUAAAGUUUUGGCUAGUUUGGCUGGGUAAAGAAAUUCUAAAAACGAAAAUAUGACAAUAAGGUUAAAAAGUUGUAUUCUUUACUAAAAAGAAAAAUGUGUAAUAUGUAAAUAAAUUGAAAUGAUUGGUUCUUAAUAUAUCA